AUGAAUUUACAUAUUGUGGAUUAUGUUAAAUAGAAAAACAAACUUGAUGACAUAUUGCCAUAUUGUGGAACAUAGUAGAUGAAAAUGUAUGCAUGUUGAUAUACCUUGAGAUAUGAGUUGAUAUAUAUGCAUGUUGAUGUAUUGUGGACUAUGUUAAAUAACAUAUGCAUGUUGAACUUGGAUCUAUAACUUUUGGAAAGUUAGAAAACUCGACGUUGGAAAACAAUGACAUAUGAACUAUGAUAUGUAAUGUAGACAAUCUAUAUAUAUUAGAUCGAGUGGCAUAUGAUUAGUAUAGUGGAAACACUUAUGGCAUGUUGAACACUUAGAAAACAAGUGUGGCACGAGUCCAAGAAUAUAGUAGUGUAUAUGACACAAGUGAUAGUAAAGAAUGUAAAGAAAAGAAUGAUUGAAAAUUAUGACAUUUCAACCCUAGAGUUAGGGUCAUUUGAGCAUAGUCUUCCUAAAGUUAAGGAAUGGAUUGAACUUGACAUCCUCAAGAUUUUGGAUUUGAUCAUCGAUCAUACUCACCUUUAGUCCUUGCUCGAGGUUGUGGUAGCUCCCCCUCGGGCGAUGUGCUCCGGAGUCGACAUCACUGGGUUGUAGCGGUUAUCUCCCCAGAGGACGGUCCCACCGGGUUGUAGCGGGUAUCUCCCCGGUUAAUGGGAUUUUGGGUUGGUGAGUUUGUUGAGGGCGAAACCUUCGGGUUAGCCAAGUGAUUGGGUAAUAAACUUAUGAGCUAUAGUGAUGUCCUAGUUGAGGGGAUUUAAGGCCGAGGUGCAAGUGAGACGUCCUUCGCCUCGGGCCUGGCUUUGUGCGGUACUCCGCAGACGAUUGACUCAAGACCGAGUCGGGCGGUUAGCUUUGUAAAGAUAGAUGAAACUUUAUGAUUAAAAUGGUAAAUGACAUAAAGUCUUAAAUGUCAAUUGGAUGAAAGUAGUAAUCGAUUGAAUUACUAGUUGAUUGUAUAGUCGUAUCAUUGCAUGAUCUUCAUAUCGCAUUCGUGAGGCAAUGCAUGGUUUUAUUCGUUGCAUAAUCAAAAUAUAUAUCUAUCUGUUUAUUGAACUAACUUGCAGUUGCCUCCCUUGGACCUAUUGGUCGAGCUUUUCCCUUGGGUGGCCGUACCCACUGGGAACCAUGGAGUUGGUUCUCACCCCACGUGGUUUUGGGGUGUUACAGGUUCACACGUGAGCGGCGCGGCGGCGCGAGGCGAGGGCGUAGCAUCAUAGUUAGCGCCCUACCACCGAGACGAGAGAUAGCGGUACCCUGAGUCGGCUUUACUUAGGGAAGUAAGAAAAUGAAAGGAAUAAGAUUGUAAUAACCAUGUUAAAUCGGAUUGUAUUUGGAAGUUAAAUGUAAUAAGUAUUUGGGAUGUAAAAUGUAUGAAUGUGAAUGUAUGUAAUAACAUAGGAUGUGUUAUGUUGUUUGAUACCUUCCAUUAUGCAAUCUUUGAUUGAAAUGUGUUCCUGGUUGGAACUUUGUACAUUGUAUUGAUUGCGACGCCUUG
Molecule: long non-coding RNA, 1507 nt
Filed under: Ananas comosus (pineapple)
Lineage: Eukaryota; Viridiplantae; Streptophyta; Magnoliopsida; Poales; Bromeliaceae
Description: long non-coding RNA (ACOM_LNC021521)
Source: RNAcentral